This is a long non-coding RNA of Acanthochromis polyacanthus (spiny chromis), 860 nucleotides long. RefSeq lists it as uncharacterized. The record is from RefSeq and is a predicted model, not a curated record. NCBI's taxonomy places the organism in Eukaryota, Metazoa, Chordata, Actinopteri, Pomacentridae. The transcript is spliced from 3 exons.
CCACAUCACUCCGCGGCCAGACGGCAGAUGAAUCACGCAUACACAGUCACUACAGAUCCCAUCCAGACUUACGGAGCGGAAUAUAAAUGAAAAUGUUUCUUCUCUGUCAUACUAAAAUAAACCACAGCAUUUAGCCUCUAGUACAAAAACAUAUUGUGGGUGUUUUAUACUCACUUUUUGGUCUCUUCCACGUUAUUCCUCUCUCCUACAACGUUGAUUACAAUUACAUGUAAACUGAGAAAUAUGCAAAUUAGGCGAUGACGUCAUUUAGCGACUUGUAGCGACUUUUAGGACAGCCAACAGCGACUUUCCUUACUGAGGAGUUGGCCACAGUGCUCUCAUCCUCAGUUGUUGGGAGAGAAGCAAGGAGGAAGCAGCUGCAGAACCAGACCAUAUGCUCGUUGGGGACCUCUGUUGCUUUGUGUGCACUCUUGCUAUCUGAACUGGCCAGGUGCUCCUCCUUUGCCUUACGCUGCCAUGCGGUCCAACCACUGAUGGCGAGCUUGAACAAGGCCAGGAGCCUACGGAAGCCCGAAGCGACUCGACUCAAUUCCACCAUUAAUGGUCUGGUAGGAGGCUUCUGCAGCCUUCCUUGAACUCUCAUCUCCUCAAUCGAGCCAUAUUCCCCCACUCACUCAAUUCUUCCUGGACAUUCAGCGCUCUGUCUCCAACUACACUCUUCUUAAUAACUACGUCGCUCAUAUGGCACAGGUGUACCGGACCUUGGUUUUUAUUUAAAACCUGGAACUGGAAUGAACUGUUUCUCAUUGUGCACAUAUGAUUUUGCCGGUUUAAAAUUUGUAUACUCUGUAAAUAUUAUGUUCCUUUGUCAAAUCACUUUAAUAAUUAAUUUAAUAUAA